Molecule: ribosomal RNA, 404 nt
Filed under: uncultured soil bacterium
Lineage: Bacteria
Description: bacterial SSU rRNA
Rfam family: Bacterial small subunit ribosomal RNA
Source: RNAcentral
AGAUUGAACGCUGGCGGCAGGCCUAACACAUGCAAGUCGAGCGGCAGCACGGGUACUUGUACCUGGUGGCGAGCGGCGGACGGGUGAGUAAUGCCUAGGAAUCUGCCUGGCAGGUGGGGGAUAACGCUCGGAAACGGACGCUAAUACCGCAUACGUCCUACGGGAGAAGCAGGGGACCUUCGGGCCUUGCGCUAUCAGAUGAGCCUAGGUCGAUUAGCUAGUUGGUGAGGUAAUGGCUCACCAAGGCGACGAUCCCGUAACUGGUCUGAGAGGAUGAUCAGUCACACUGGAACUGAGCACGGUCCAGACUCCGACGGAGCAGUCAGGUGGGAAUAGUUGGACAAGUGGGACGAAAGCCUAGAUCCAGCCAUCGCCGCGUGUGAGAAGAAGGUCUCGGAUAGAAG